RNAcentral lists this ribosomal RNA (486 nucleotides) under uncultured bacterium. Its description in RNAcentral is "SSU rRNA". It matches the Rfam family "Bacterial small subunit ribosomal RNA", at positions 26 to 518 of the family's 1533-position model. The record is from RNAcentral.
AGAACGAACGCUGGCGGCGUGGAUAAGACAUGCAAGUCGAACGAGAUUUUUCGUUGUAGCAAUACGAUGGAAAAUUUAGUGGCGAACGGGUGCUUAACACGUGGGCAACCUGCCAAGAAGUGGGGGAUAGCUCGCCGAAAGGCGAAUUAAUACCGCAUGUGAUUAGAGAGGACAUCUUUUCAAAAUUAAAGUCGGGGCAACCUGACGCUUCUUGUGGGGCCCGCGGCCUAUCAGCUAGUUGGUGAGGUAAAGGCUCACCAAGGCUUUGACGGGUAGCUGGUCUGAGAGGACGACCAGCCACACUGGGACUGAGACACAGCCCAGACACCUACGGGUGGCAGCAGUCGAGAAUUUUGACAAUGGGGAACCCUGAUCCAGCCAUGCCGCGUGAGUGAUGAAGGCCCUAGGGUUGUAAAGCUCUUUGUGCGGGAAGAUAAUGACGGUACCGCAAGAAUAAGCCCCGGCUAACUUCGUGCCAGCAGCCGC